This 288-nucleotide ribosomal RNA is filed under the name uncultured bacterium. Its description in RNAcentral is "partial 16S ribosomal RNA". It matches the Rfam family "Bacterial small subunit ribosomal RNA", at positions 335 to 637 of the family's 1533-position model. The record is from RNAcentral.
CUGCCUACGGGACGCAGCAGUGGGGAAUAUUGCACAAUGGGGGAAACCCUGAUGCAGCGACGCCGCGUGAGUGAAGAAGUAUUUCGGUAUGUAAAGCUCUAUCAGCAGGGAAGAAAGAAAUGACGGUACCUGACUAAGAAGCCCCGGCUAACUACGUGCCAGCAGCCGCGGUAAUACGUAGGGGGCAAGCGUUAUCCGGAUUUACUGGGUGUAAAGGGAGCGUAGACGGCGAUGCAAGUCUGAAGUGAAAGGCGGGGGCCCAACCCCCGGACUGCUUUGGAAACUGUA